UCAGACACACAUCAUACACUCUGGAUAUGCAGUCUAUAAUAGGUCACCAAUAAAUUUUGUUUAUUCGAGUCGGGACAAAGAAAGACUAAAUAAAGACUAAAUUAAAAAGCAGUACACGGUACCUCAUCUGGAGUUGGGAAUUUGAUGGAUACAAUGAAGCAUAUGAUACUAUGAUAGUCAUUUAUAUGAGGAAGGAGCCGAAGAAUGUAAGAAUCAUUCAAUUAGUUUCAUCAUGCNCACGGUACCUCAUCUGGAGUUGGGAAUUUGAUGGAUACAAUGAAGCAGAUGAUACUAUGAUAGUCAUUUAUAUGAGGAAGGAGCCGAAG
Molecule: long non-coding RNA, 326 nt
Filed under: Daucus carota (carrot)
Lineage: Eukaryota; Viridiplantae; Streptophyta; Magnoliopsida; Apiales; Apiaceae
Description: long non-coding RNA (DCAR_LNC004539)
Source: RNAcentral